GUUGGGCGUGGUGGCACAUGCCUGUAGUCCCAGCUACUCAGGAGGCUGAGGCAGGAGAAUUGCUUGAACCUGGGAGGCUUAGGUUGCAGUGAGCCGAGACCAUGCCACUGCACUCCAGCCUGGGUGACAAAGCAAGACUCCGUCUCAA
Molecule: non-coding RNA, 148 nt
Filed under: Homo sapiens (human)
Lineage: Eukaryota; Metazoa; Chordata; Mammalia; Primates; Hominidae
Source: Rfam by way of RNAcentral